Molecule: ribosomal RNA, 465 nt
Filed under: uncultured bacterium
Lineage: Bacteria
Description: bacterial SSU rRNA
Rfam family: Bacterial small subunit ribosomal RNA
Source: RNAcentral
CUACGGGAGGCAGCAGUGGGGAAUAUUGGACAAUGGGCGCAAGCCUGAUCCAGCAAUGCCGCGUGUGUGAAGAAGGCCUGCGGGUUGUAAAGCACUUUAAGCCGGAAAGAAGGGGUGGUGGUUAAUACCCGCCAUCAUUGACGUUACCGGCAGAAUAAGCACCGGCUAACUCCGUGCCAGCAGCCGCGGUAAUACGGAGGGUGCGAGCGUUAAUCGGAAUUACUGGGCGUAAAGCGCGCGUAGGCGGUUGACUAAGUCCGCUGUGAAAGCCCUGGGCUUAACCUGGGAACGGCGUUUGAAACUGGAGGGCUGGAGUGUGGCAGAGGGAGGUGGAAUUCCACGUGUAGCAGUGAAAUGCGUAGAGAUGUGGAGGAACACCGAUGGCGAAGGCAGCCUCCUGGGCCAACACUGACGCUCAUGCACGAAAGCGUGGGGAGCAAACAGGAUUAGAUACCCGUGUAGUCC